This 460-nucleotide ribosomal RNA is filed under the name uncultured bacterium. RNAcentral describes it as "partial 16S ribosomal RNA". It matches the Rfam family "Bacterial small subunit ribosomal RNA", at positions 338 to 795 of the family's 1533-position model. The record is from RNAcentral.
CCUACGGGUGGCAGCAGUGAGGAAUAUUGGUCAAUGGACGAGAGUCUGAACCAGCCAAGUAGCGUGAAGGAUGACUGCCCUAUGGGUUGUAAACUUCUUUUAUAUGGGAAUAAAAUGUUCCACGUGUGGGAUUUUGUAUGUACCAUAUGAAUAAGGAUCUGCUAACUCCGUGCCAGCAGCCGCGUUACUACGGAGGAUCCGAGCGUUAUCCGGAUUUAUUGGGUUGAAAGGGAGCGUAGGUGGAUUGUUAAGUCAGUUGGGAAAGUUUGCGGCGCAACCGUAAAAUUGCAGUUGAAACUGGCAGUCUUGAGUACAGUAGAGGUGGGCGGAAUUCGUGGUGUAGCGGUGAAAGGCUUAGAUAUCACGAAGAACGCCGAUUGCGAAGGCAGUUCACUGGACUGCAACUGACACUGAGGCUCGAAAGUGUGGGUAUCAAACAGGAGUAGAUACCCGUGUAGUC